This 253-nucleotide ribosomal RNA is filed under the name uncultured bacterium. RNAcentral describes it as "partial 16S ribosomal RNA". It matches the Rfam family "Bacterial small subunit ribosomal RNA", at positions 524 to 776 of the family's 1533-position model. The record is from RNAcentral.
UACGGAGGGAGCUAGCGUUGUUCGGAAUUACUGGGUGUAAAGCGCACGUAGGCGGCUUUUUAAGUCAGGGGUGAAAUCCCGGGGCUCAACCCCGGAACUGCCCUUGAAACUGGAGAGCUAGAAUCUUGGAGAGGCGAGUGGAAUUCCGAGUGUAGAGGUGAAAUUCGUAGAUAUUCGGAAGAACACCAGUGGCGAAGGCGACUCGCUGGACAAGUAUUGACGCUGAGGUGCGAAAGCGUGGGGAGCAAACAGG